This 203-nucleotide long non-coding RNA is filed under the name Lathyrus oleraceus (garden pea). RNAcentral describes it as "Pisum sativum (pea) long non-coding RNA (PSAT_LNC009500)". The record is from RNAcentral. Lineage: Eukaryota; Viridiplantae; Streptophyta; Magnoliopsida; Fabales; Fabaceae.
AUUAAUCUUUCCCUCGGUUUGUCCCCAAACCCAACAUGUAAGUUAUCUUGCAUGAAUACUUCGUAUAACUAGACUCUAACUUUUCAUUUACCUAUCAACACUCCUUGUUUCUUAGUCAUUCUCUUAAAAAAUUCCUAGGCGAUUUUCAUCUUCAUAAAAACUCAUAUUCAAUCAUCUCUUCAAACAUCAACUCGAACAUUAAC